CUGCCACCCUGCAGGCCGGGAAGUUGGCAGGUGUGGCGGGUGGGGUGAGGGGUCCGAGUCCCAUGGCCUAGGACGUUCAUUUCUCCGAGGCUCGGUCUCUCCUCUGGUGGGACCAUGUCUCGAAGAGCCCCUGGCUUGGCUUCUGGAGCUGGCGGCCAGAGCCACCAGGAAGAUCAAGGAGCCAGGGCCACCCUCACGUUGCCUAGGCAACAGCAUCCGUGAUCAGACUGUAAGGCAACUGGGACCCAUGCGUGCUCCCCGGGGGAGGCUGCAGGUUCACGUCGGUGUCCGGUGAUAAAGAAGACACGGAUACAGCAAGAAGGAAGGAGGCCCUGUGCACGACACU
Molecule: long non-coding RNA, 346 nt
Filed under: Homo sapiens (human)
Lineage: Eukaryota; Metazoa; Chordata; Mammalia; Primates; Hominidae
Description: non-protein coding lnc-KLHDC4-1:8
Source: RNAcentral